This 810-nucleotide ribosomal RNA is filed under the name Mycobacterium sp. RNAcentral's name for it is "bacterial SSU rRNA". It matches the Rfam family "Bacterial small subunit ribosomal RNA", at positions 107 to 928 of the family's 1533-position model. Lineage: Bacteria; Bacillati; Actinomycetota; Actinomycetes; Mycobacteriales; Mycobacteriaceae. The record is from RNAcentral.
UGAGUAACACGUGGGUGAUCUGCCCUGCACUUUGGGAUAAGCCUGGGAAACUGGGUCUAAUACCGAAUAGGACCGCGCUCUUCAUGGGGUGUGGUGGAAAGCUUUUGCGGUGUGGGAUGGGCCCGCGGCCUAUCAGCUUGUUGGUGGGGUAAUGGCCUACCAAGGCGACGACGGGUAGCCGGCCUGAGAGGGUGACCGGCCACACUGGGACUGAGAUACGGCCCAGACUCCUACGGGAGGCAGCAGUGGGGAAUAUUGCACAAUGGGCGCAAGCCUGAUGCAGCGACGCCGCGUGAGGGAUGACGGCCUUCGGGUUGUAAACCUCUUUCAAUAGGGACGAAGCGCAAGUGACGGUACCUAUAGAAGAAGGACCGGCCAACUACGUGCCAGCAGCCGCGGUAAUACGUAGGGUCCGAGCGUUGUCCGGAAUUACUGGGCGUAAAGAGCUCGUAGGUGGUUUGUCGCGUUGUUCGUGAAAACUCACAGCUUAACUGUGGGCGUGCGGGCGAUACGGGCAGACUAGAGUACUGCAGGGGAGACUGGAAUUCCUGGUGUAGCGGUGGAAUGCGCAGAUAUCAGGAGGAACACCGGUGGCGAAGGCGGGUCUCUGGGCAGUAACUGACGCUGAGGAGCGAAAGCGUGGGGAGCGAACAGGAUUAGAUACCCUGGUAGUCCACGCCGUAAACGGUGGGUACUAGGUGUGGGUUUCCUUCCUUGGGAUCCGUGCCGUAGCUAACGCAUUAAGUACCCCGCCUGGGGAGUACGGCCGCAAGGCUAAAACUCAAAGGAAUUGACGGGGGGCCCGCACAA